This is a long non-coding RNA of Choloepus didactylus (southern two-toed sloth), 495 nucleotides long. RefSeq lists it as uncharacterized. The transcript has 3 exons. NCBI's taxonomy places the organism in Eukaryota, Metazoa, Chordata, Mammalia, Pilosa, Megalonychidae. The record is from RefSeq and is a predicted model, not a curated record.
GGGAAGUUCUCGCGGGAGUGAAGGGGGGAAGGGUGGUUCGCAGCCUUUGAGGGUAGUUUUUGCUUCUUUCCAGGUCUUUCGCCUCCAGAUUGAAGGGUUACAUUUGUUCUUCGCGAGGCGGGUGAGAUGUACCCCAACUCCUUCUCUGCCCUCAGGAGCCUGCUGCGGCCUGGAUGCCCAAGCCCACAUUUUCCGCUUCCUGGAAGCGUAAAGUGUGGAGUAGUGGGCGAGAAGAGAAACGUCUAACAAGCUGGUGAAAUUAAGGCGACUCAAACUCCUCAAAGCUAAUUUAUAACUUGAAGUCCAAAGGAACCUGUAUUAUGUUUCAUUUUAUGGGAUAAGCAACACUUCACAACUUCUAAGGUCAUCCCUCUCACCCUUUAAGGAUGCUAGAAACUCAUUUCUGCCUCCCAGCAGGUGGCAGCAAAUCAAUGCUAAAUAAGAGAGAAAGCCACAGGAGCAGGAAACUAAAAUCGAUAAAACCUGGAAGAGAAG